This 292-nucleotide ribosomal RNA is filed under the name uncultured bacterium. RNAcentral describes it as "partial 16S ribosomal RNA". It matches the Rfam family "Bacterial small subunit ribosomal RNA", at positions 505 to 796 of the family's 1533-position model. The record is from RNAcentral.
GUGUCAGCAGCCGCGGUAAUACGUAGGGGGCAAGCGUUGUCCGGAGUUACUGGGCGUAAAGCGCACGCAGGCGGUCAUGUAAGUUUGGAGUGACAGUGCCCGGCUUAACUGGGCAAGUGCUUCGAAAACUGCACGACUUGAGGGCUUCAGAGGGACACGGAAUUCCGGGUGUAGUGGUGAAAUGCGUAGAUAUCCGGAGGAACACCGAAGGCGUAGGCAGUGUCCUGGGGAGUACCUGACGCUCAGGUGCGAAAGCCAGGGGAGCGAACGGGAUUAGAUACCCCGGUAGUCC